RNAcentral lists this ribosomal RNA (254 nucleotides) under uncultured bacterium. RNAcentral's name for it is "partial 16S ribosomal RNA". It matches the Rfam family "Bacterial small subunit ribosomal RNA", at positions 524 to 776 of the family's 1533-position model. The record is from RNAcentral.
UACGUAGGGGGCAAGCGUUGUCCGGAAUUAUUGGGCGUAAAGAGCGCGUAGGCGGUCCGAUAAGUCGGCUGUGAAAGUCAGGGGCUCAACCCUUGAAAGCCGGCCGAUACUGUCGGACUAGAGUCCGGAAGAGGCAAGUGGAAUUCCCGGUGUAGCGGUGAAAUGCGCAGGAUAUCGGGAGGAACACCAAUGGCGAAGGCAGCUUGCUGGGACGGUACUGACGCUGAGGCGCGAAAGCGUGGGGAGCAAACAGG